Molecule: ribosomal RNA, 55 nt
Filed under: Ctenophora environmental sample
Lineage: Eukaryota; Metazoa; Ctenophora
Description: partial 5.8S ribosomal RNA
Source: RNAcentral
GUAAUGGAUGCUUCGGAUGCUAUAUCGAUGAAGAGCACAUCUACUGGCGGUUGGC